Molecule: long non-coding RNA, 971 nt
Filed under: Equus asinus (donkey)
Lineage: Eukaryota; Metazoa; Chordata; Mammalia; Perissodactyla; Equidae
Description: lncRNA (ENSEASG00005027862.1)
Source: RNAcentral
GGACUCGGGGGCUCGUGGUGGGGCGGGGAUGGGGAUGCUGCCUCGCCCACCCCGCGGCGGACUUCAGUAAAUUCCGUUAGAAUCAGAAGAGAACGAACUUUUACGUAGAAGAAAAUGUCUUAAUUUUUGAAGCACGAUUGCCGUGCAAUAAACCACACAUACUUGAAGUGUGCAACUUGAUGAGUUUGGCACAUAUGUGAAGUUUGACAUAUGCAGUCACGCGCCACAUAGGGACACUUUGGUCAACGACGGACCACGUACAGGACAGUGGUCCCAUAAGACACCUACUCAAGAGGAAGGGCUCCAGCUCCAUCCCAUGAAUCAGUGUACUCUGUGAGCAGAAGAGCGUCGCCAAGGAGGAAGAAAAGAUCUGUAAGCAGCGGCAGCAGAAUCGACAGGGUCAUUCCGGGUGCAGGAGGACAGACGGGGCUCCAGCAGGAGGACGACGUGCAUCGCCAGCCAGCCUGCCUGCUUCCCUCUGGAAAGAGGUGGAGGAAGAUUUGGGCCACAGAGAGGCCGGGGAGGAGGCCAUGGAGCAGAAGCUGGAUGCUGCAGCCCAAGCCAAGGAGCCCCCAGAAGCUGGAAGAGGCGCAGGAAACUCACACGCCCAUGUCCGUCUCGUUUAUGAGGCCCCAUAAGCAGCAUCUGGUUGUGACUCCCCAGGGUUGAGAUCCCAUACAGUGGCUGGGCCUCAAAACAUGCCAAAACAUUCUCUCUAAUCCAGCCCCUUUCCUGCCGCUCCCAAGAUGCACCACUGCUGCCAACACCACCAUCGCACCAAAGGGACAGCGGUGGUGUGACAGCUGUUGGGUUCUAAACAUCUGGCAAUGAGCCUUCACAUAGUAAGUGCUAGAUAAAUCUAUCAAUACGACUAAAGUGAGAUCAAAAUGUACAAACACAGGCACUGCCUUCUCAAGGUGUGUGGGCACCCUGGCUGUGUGUCCUUGAGUAAGCUACUUGGCAUCUCUGAG